GUGGAGGUAAAGAGGUAUGGGACUGUAGGUGGAGGUAAAGAGGUAUGUGACUGGAGGUGGAGGUAUGGGACUGUAGGUGGAGGUAUAGAGGUAUGGGACUGUGGGUGGAGGUAAAGUGGUAUGGGAAUGUAGGUUGAGGUAAAGAUGUAUGGGACUGUAGGUGGAGUUAUGUGACUGUAGGUGGAGGUAAAGAUGUAUGGGACUGUAGGUGGAGGUAAAGAGGUAAGUGACUGUAGGUGGAGUGAAAGAGGUAUCUGACUGUAGGUGGAGGUAUGGGAUUGUAGGUAGAGGUAUAGAGGUAUGGGACUGUAGGUGGAGGUAUGGGACUGUAGGUGGAGGUAUAGAGGUAUGGGACUGUAGGCGGAGGUAUAGAGGUAUGGGACUGUAGGUGGAGGUAAAGAGGUAUGGGACUGUAGGUGGAGGUA
Oncorhynchus tshawytscha (Chinook salmon) is the source of this 425-nucleotide long non-coding RNA. The record is from Ensembl. NCBI's taxonomy places the organism in Eukaryota, Metazoa, Chordata, Actinopteri, Salmoniformes, Salmonidae.